RNAcentral lists this transfer RNA (82 nucleotides) under Ixodes scapularis (black-legged tick). It matches the Rfam family "tRNA". Rfam says of the family: Transfer RNA (tRNA) molecules are approximately 80 nucleotides in length. Their secondary structure includes four short double-helical elements and three loops (D, anti-codon, and T loops). Further hydrogen bonds mediate the characteristic L-shaped molecular structure. tRNAs have two regions of fundamental functional importance: the anti-codon, which is responsible for specific mRNA codon recognition, and the 3' end, to which the tRNAs corresponding amino acid is attached (by aminoacyl-tRNA synthetases). tRNAs cope with the degeneracy of the genetic code in two manners: having more than one tRNA (with a specific anti-codon) for a particular amino acid; and 'wobble' base-pairing, i.e. permitting non-standard base-pairing at the 3rd anti-codon position. Lineage: Eukaryota; Metazoa; Arthropoda; Arachnida; Ixodida; Ixodidae. The record is from Rfam by way of RNAcentral.
GCAGUCGUGGCCGAGUGGUUAAGGCGACGGACUAGAAAUCCAUUGGGGUCUCCCCGCACAAUCUCGAAUCCUGUCGACUGCA